RNAcentral lists this long non-coding RNA (435 nucleotides) under Ananas comosus (pineapple). RNAcentral describes it as "long non-coding RNA (ACOM_LNC005376)". Lineage: Eukaryota; Viridiplantae; Streptophyta; Magnoliopsida; Poales; Bromeliaceae. The record is from RNAcentral.
AUAUAUAUAUAGUUGGGGCUACUAUACUCUUAUGAGUAUAGAUCUCUUUGUACUCAUAAAUUUUUAACCGUUGAUUGAUGGGAUGUGUGGUUUGGAUGAUGGUGGUCCCCACUUAAAAUGAUAGUGGUGCCCUAAGGUUUAGUGGGUAGUUAGUUAAAUAGUAUGAUCUAAUGGAUGAAAAUGAUUAAUGGAAUAAAUCUAAAGGCCGAAAACUUAUGAGUAUAAGGGAACCAAUACUCAUAAAAGUAUAGUAGCCGUGUCACGCCCCGGAUGUCUCGUUCCCCGGGCACGCAUACAAACCCGCCGUAUACAAAGGAGUUUCCUCUGUACACGAAGCGACAGCUGUACCUGUAAACAUACAAUACUACAAACAGUAGUAUAGAGCUGCUAGAGAAAACAAAAGCUAAACAAACUGAGUUUCAUAUACAUAGCUCA